ACGAACGCUGGCGGCGUGCCUAAUACAUGCAAGUAGAACGCUGAAGAGAGGAGCUUGCUCUUCUUGGAUGAGUUGCGAACGGGUGAGUAACGCGUAGGUAACCUGCCUUGUAGCGGGGGAUAACUAUUGGAAACGAUAGCUAAUACCGCAUAACAAUGGAUGACACAUGUCAUUUAUUUGAAAGGGGCAAUUGUUCCACUACAAGAUGGACCUGCGUUGUAUUAGCUAGUAGGUGAGGUAAUGGCUCACCUAGGCGACGAUACAUAGCCGACCUGAGAGGGUGAUCGGCCACACUGGGACUGAGACACGGCCCAGACUCCUACGGGAGGCAGCAGUAGGGAAUCUUCGGCAAUGGGGGCAACCCUGACCGAGCAACGCCGCGUGAGUGAAGAAGGUUUUCGGAUCGUAAAGCUCUGUUGUAAGUCAAGAACGGGUGUGAGAGUGGAAAGUUCACACUGUGACGGUAGCUUACCAGAAAGGGACGGCUAACUACGUGCCAGCAGCCGCGGUAAUACGUAGGUCCCGAGCGUUGUCCGGAUUUAUUGGGCGUAAAGCGAGCGCAGGCGGUUUGAUAAGUCUGAAGUUAAAGGCUGUGGCUCAACCAUAGUUCGCUUUGGAAACUGUCAAACUUGAGUGCAGAAGGGGAGAGUGGAAUUCCAUGUGUAGCGGUGACAUGCGUAGAUAUAUGGAGGAACACCGGUGGCGAAAGCGGCUCUUUGGGUCUGUAACUGACGCUGAGGCUCGAAAAGCGUGGGGAGCGAACAGGAUUAGAUACCCUGGUAGUCCACGCAGUAAACGAUGAGUGCUAGGUGUUGGAUCCUUUCCGGGAUUCAGUGCCGCAGCUAACGCAUUAAGCACUCCGCCUGGGGAGUACGACCGCAAGGUUGAAACUCAAAGGAAUUGACGGGGGCCCGCACAAGCGGUGGAGCAUGUGGUUUAAUUCGAAGCAACGCGAAGAACCUUACCAGGUCUUGACAUCCCGAUGCUAUUUUUAGAGAUAGAAAGUUACUUCGGUACAUCGGUGACAGGUGGUGCAUGGUUGUCGUCAGCUCGUGUCGUGAGAUGUUGGGUUAAGUCCCGCAACGAGCGCAACCCCUAUUGUCAGUUGCCAUCAUUCAGUUGGGCACUCUAGCGAGACUGCCGGUAAUAAACCGGAGGAAGGUGGGGAUGACGUCAAAUCAUCAUGCCCCUUAUGACCUGGGCUACACACGUGCUACAAUGGUUGGUACAACGAGUUGCGAGUCGGUGACGGCGAGCUAAUCUCUUAAAGCCAAUCUCGGUUCGGAUUGUAGGCUGCAACUCGCCUACAUGAAGUCGGAAUCGCUAGUAAUCGCGGAUCAGCACGCCGCGGUGAAUACGUUCCCGGGCCUUGUACACACCGCCCGUCACACCACGAGAGUUUGUAACACCCGAAGUCGGUGAGGUAACCUUUUGGAGCCAGCCGCCUAAGGUGGGACAGAUGA
This 1463-nucleotide ribosomal RNA is filed under the name uncultured organism. RNAcentral's name for it is "SSU rRNA". It matches the Rfam family "Bacterial small subunit ribosomal RNA". The record is from RNAcentral.